This 499-nucleotide ribosomal RNA is filed under the name uncultured bacterium. Its description in RNAcentral is "partial 16S ribosomal RNA". It matches the Rfam family "Bacterial small subunit ribosomal RNA", at positions 899 to 1397 of the family's 1533-position model. The record is from RNAcentral.
ACUCAAAUGAAUAGACGGGGGCCCGCACAAGCGGCGGAGCAUGCGGAUUAAUUCGAUGCAACGCGAAGAACCUUACCAAGGCUUGACAUGUACGAGAAAGCCCCAGAGAUGGGGUUCUCUUUGGACACUCGUACACAGGUGGUGCAUGGUUGUCGUCAGCUCGUGUCGUGAGAUGUUGGGUUAAGUCCCGCAACGAGCGCAACCCUUAUCCUAUGUUGCCAGCGGGUUAUGCCGGGGACUCAUGGGAGACUGCCGGGGUCAACUCGGAGGAAGGUGGGGAUGACGUCAAAUCAUCAUGCCCCUUAUGUCUUGGGCUUCACGCAUGCUACAAUGGCCGGUACAGAGGGCUGCGAUACCGUGAGGUGGAGCGAAUCCCAAAAAGCCGGUCUCAGUUCGGAUCGGGGUCUGCAACUCGACCCCGUGAAGUCGGAGUCGCUAGUAAUCGCAGAUCAGCAACGCUGCGGUGAAUACGUUCCCGGGCCUUGUACACACCGCCCGU